AUUGAACGCUGGCGGCAUGCCUUACACAUGCAAGUCGAACGGUAACGGGUCCUUCGGGAUGCCGACGAGUGGCGAACGGGUGAGUAAUAUAUCGGAACGUGCCCAGUAGUGGGGGAUAACUGCUCGAAAGAGCAGCUAAUACCGCAUACGACCUGAGGGUGAAAGGGGGGGAUCGCAAGACCUCUCGCUAUUGGAGCGGCCGAUAUCAGAUUAGCUAGUUGGUGGGGUAAAGGCCUACCAAGGCAACGAUCUGUAGUUGGUCUGAGAGGACGACCAGCCACACUGGGACUGAGACACGGCCCAGACUCCUACGGGAGGCAGCAGUGGGGAAUUUUGGACAAUGGGCGCAAGCCUGAUCCAGCAAUGCCGCGUGCAGGAAGAAGGCCUUCGGGUUGUAAACUGCUUUUGUCAGGGAAGAAAUCUUCUGGGCUAAUACCCCGGGAGGAUGACGGUACCUGAAGAAUAAGCACCGGCUAACUACGUGCCAGCAGCCGCGGUAAUACGUAGGGUGCGAGCGUUAAUCGGAAUUACUGGGCGUAAAGCGUGCGCAGGCGGCUUUGCAAGACAGAUGUGAAUCCCCGGGCUCAACCUGGGAACUGCAUUUGUGACUGCAAGGCUAGAGUACGGCAGAGGGGGAUGGAAUUCCGCGUGUAGCAGUGAAAUGCGUAGAUAUGCGGAGGAACACCAAUGGCGAAGGCAAUCCCCUGGGCCUGUACUGACGCUCAUGCACGAAAGCGUGGGGAGCAAACAGGAUUAGAUACCCUGGUAGUCCACGCCCUAAACGAUGUCAACUGGUUGUUGGACGGCUUGCUGUUCAGUAACGAAGCUAACGCGUGAAGUUGACCGCCUGGGGAGUACGGCCGCAAGGUUGAAACUCAAAGGAGUUGACGGGGACCCGCACAAGCGGUGGAUGAUGUGGUUUAAUUCGAUGCAACGCGAAAAACCUUACCUACCCUUGACAUGUCAAGAAUUCUGCAGAGAUGUGGAAGUGCUCGAAAGAGAACUUGAACACAGGUGCUGCAUGGCCGUCGUCAGCUCGUGUCGUGAGAUGUUGGGUUAAGUCCCGCAACGAGCGCAACCCUUGUCAUUAGUUGCUACGCAAGAGCACUCUAAUGAGACUGCCGGUGACAAACCGGAGGAAGGUGGGGAUGACGUCAGGUCCUCAUGGCCCUUAUGGGUAGGGCUACACACGUCAUACAAUGGCCGGUACAGAGGGCUGCCAACCCGCGAGGGGGAGCCAAUCCCAGAAAACCGGUCGUAGUCCGGAUCGUAGUCUGCAACUCGACUGCGUGAAGUCGGAAUCGCUAGUAAUCGCGGAUCAGCUUGCCGCGGUGAAUAAGUUCCCGGGUCU
RNAcentral lists this ribosomal RNA (1351 nucleotides) under uncultured bacterium. RNAcentral's name for it is "bacterial SSU rRNA". It matches the Rfam family "Bacterial small subunit ribosomal RNA", at positions 28 to 1381 of the family's 1533-position model. The record is from RNAcentral.